GAUGAACGCUGGCGGCGUGUCUAAGGCAUGCAAGUCGAACGAUCCAGCCCCAGUUUUUAACUGGAGCUGGAGAGUGGCAAACGGGAGAGUAACACACUGGUACCUACCCCUCAGUCGGGGAUAACAUCGCGAAAGUGGUGCUAAUAUCCGAUAGUCUCUACGGAGUAAAGAUUUAUUGCUGGGGGAGGGGCCUAUGUCCCAUCAGCUUGUUGGUAAGGUAACGGCUUACCAAGGCGACGACGGGUAGGGGGCGUGAGAGCGUGACCCCCCUCACUGGGACUGAGACACUGCCCAGACUCCUACGGGAGGCUGCAGUCGAGAAUCUUCCACAAUGGGCGAAAGCCUGAUGGAGCGACGCCGCGUGCAGGAGGACGCCCUUCGGGGUGUAAACUGCUUUUAUGAAGGACGAAUUUGUGACGGUACUUCAAGAAUAAGGGGCUGCUAAACUCG
Molecule: ribosomal RNA, 450 nt
Filed under: uncultured bacterium
Lineage: Bacteria
Description: bacterial SSU rRNA
Rfam family: Bacterial small subunit ribosomal RNA
Source: RNAcentral